AACGCGAAGAACCUUACCAGGUCUUGACAUCCUCUGACCACUCUAGAGAUAGAGCUUUCCCCUUCGGGGGACAGAGUGACAGGUGGUGCAUGGUUGUCGUCAGCUCGUGUCGUGAGAUGUUGGGUUAAGUCCCGCAACGAGCGCAACCCUUGACCUUAGUUGCCAGCAUUCAGUUGGGCACUCUAAGGUGACUGCCGGUGACAAACCGGAGGAAGGUGGGGAUGACGUCAAAUCAUCAUGCCCCUUAUGACCUGGGCUACACACGUGCUACAAUGGAUGGUACAAAGGGUUGCGAAGCCGCGAGGCCAAGCCAAUCCCAAAAAGCCAUUCUCAGUUCGGAUUGUAGGCUGCAACUCGCCUACAUGAAGCCGGAAUUGCUAGUAAUCGCGGAUCAGCAUGCCGCGGUGAAUACGUUCCCGGGCCUUGUACACACCGCCCGUCACACCACGAGA
RNAcentral lists this ribosomal RNA (452 nucleotides) under Fictibacillus barbaricus. Its description in RNAcentral is "bacterial SSU rRNA". It matches the Rfam family "Bacterial small subunit ribosomal RNA", at positions 958 to 1409 of the family's 1533-position model. The record is from RNAcentral. Lineage: Bacteria; Bacillati; Bacillota; Bacilli; Caryophanales; Fictibacillaceae.